This 494-nucleotide ribosomal RNA is filed under the name uncultured bacterium. RNAcentral describes it as "partial 16S ribosomal RNA". It matches the Rfam family "Bacterial small subunit ribosomal RNA", at positions 28 to 507 of the family's 1533-position model. The record is from RNAcentral.
GACGAACGCUGGCGGCGUGCUUAACACAUGCAAGUCGAACGGAAAGGCCUGCUUUCCCUUGUGGAUUGCGGGUACUCGAGUGGCGAACGGGUGAGUAACACGUGAGUGAUCUGCCCCCAACUUGGGUAUAAGCCUGGGAAACUGGGUCUAAUUCCCGAUAGGACUGCAGGGUGGUGCCUGUGGUGGAAAACGAUUUUCUAGUGGUUGGGGAUGAGCUCGCGGCCUAUCAGCUUGUUGUUGGGGUAAUGGCCUACCAAGGCGGCGACGGGUAGCCGGCCUGAGAGGGUGGACGGCCACAUUGGGACUGAGAUACGGCCCAGACUCCUACGGGAGGCAGCAGUGGGGAAUAUUGCACAAUGGGCGGAAGCCUGAUGCAGCGACGCCGCGUGGGGGAUGACGGCCUUCGGGUUGUAAACUCCUUUCGACCGCGAGGAAGCCACCUGGUUGGAAGGGUGGUGACGGUAGUGGUAGAAGAAGCACCGGCUAACUACGUG